Non-coding RNA from Brachypodium distachyon (stiff brome), 159 nucleotides. RefSeq annotates it as microRNA MIR393a. The record is from RefSeq and is marked provisional. The transcript has a single exon. Lineage: Eukaryota; Viridiplantae; Streptophyta; Magnoliopsida; Poales; Poaceae.
UGAGAGCGAGAGGGCAACAAUGUCUUGGGGAAGCAUCCAAAGGGAUCGCAUUGAUCCUUCGACUCCAUUAAUGGUGUUCGUCAUCGUCUGCUGAUUGUCGACGACGGAUCAUGCGAUCCUUUUGGAGGCUUCCUCUAGCCAUUACUACACUAAGCAUUC